GGGGUUGUGGCUCUGUGGUAGAGCACUUACCUUGCAUGCAUGGGGCACUGGGUUUGAGCCUCAGCACCCCA
This 71-nucleotide transfer RNA is filed under the name Marmota marmota marmota (Alpine marmot). It matches the Rfam family "tRNA". From Rfam's summary of the family: Transfer RNA (tRNA) molecules are approximately 80 nucleotides in length. Their secondary structure includes four short double-helical elements and three loops (D, anti-codon, and T loops). Lineage: Eukaryota; Metazoa; Chordata; Mammalia; Rodentia; Sciuridae. The record is from Rfam by way of RNAcentral. RNAcentral also lists the same sequence under 1 other name.